GGAGGAUUACUCCCAUCUUUGUUUCCUUUGAGGCCAUCCAUAUCCAUGGAGAGUUUAAUAAUACACGUAUUUGAUAGUUUCUCAUGUUGCUAAUUAUUUGAAUUUUUUUAUCUUUGUGAUAUUUUUAUGGAUGUAGAUUAUUAUUAUUAUUAUUAUUUGAUAAAUAUGGAUGUAGAUUGUUCGGUACAGUGAUUUAGUGCUUAUUUGGAUUUAAUAUAAGAAUCGGACUGAUAGCCUGUCUGGUCUUUUUUUUUUUCCUGCUAAAAGUCUAUUCUAAUAUUGGCUAAAUCACAUCUAUUGGCCUG
RNAcentral lists this long non-coding RNA (305 nucleotides) under Elaeis guineensis (African oil palm). Its description in RNAcentral is "long non-coding RNA (EGUI_LNC024928)". Lineage: Eukaryota; Viridiplantae; Streptophyta; Magnoliopsida; Arecales; Arecaceae. The record is from RNAcentral.